This 426-nucleotide ribosomal RNA is filed under the name uncultured bacterium. RNAcentral's name for it is "bacterial SSU rRNA". It matches the Rfam family "Bacterial small subunit ribosomal RNA", at positions 917 to 1341 of the family's 1533-position model. The record is from RNAcentral.
GGACCCGCACAAGUAGUGGAGCAUGUGGUUUAAUUCGAAGAUACGCGCAGAACCUUACCAACACUUGACAUGUUCGUCGCGACUUUGAGAGAUCAAAGUUUUCGGUUCGGCCGGACGAAACACAGGUGCUGCAUGGCUGUCGUCAGCUCGUGUCGUGAGAUGUUGGGUUAAGUCCCGCAACGAGCGCAACCCUCACUUUUAGUUGCCAUCAUUUAGUUGGGCACUCUGAAAGAACUGCCAGUGAUAAGCUGGAGGAAGGUGGGGAUGACGUCAAGUCCUCAUGGCCCUUACGUGUUGGGCUACACACGUGCUACAAUGGUAUCUACAACAGGAAGCAAAACUGCGAAGUUAAGCAAAUCCUUAAAAGAUACCUCAGUUCGGAUUGCACUCUGCAACUCGAGUGCAUGAAGCUGGAAUUACUAGUAA